UACGGAGGGGGCAAGCGUUGUUCGGAUUUACUGGGCGUAAAGGGAGUGUAGGCGGCCGAUCAAGUCUGAUGUGAAAGCCUUACCGCUUACCGGAAGGAGGUCAUCAGAAACUGGUUGGCUAGAGUAAGGUAGAGGCGAGCGGAAUUCCUGGUGUAGCGGUGGAAUGUGUAGAUAUCAGGAAGAACAUCGGUGGCGAAGGCGGCUCGCUGGGCCUUUACUGACGCUGAGACUCGAAAGCGUGGGGAGCAAA
RNAcentral lists this ribosomal RNA (250 nucleotides) under uncultured bacterium. RNAcentral describes it as "partial 16S ribosomal RNA". It matches the Rfam family "Bacterial small subunit ribosomal RNA", at positions 524 to 772 of the family's 1533-position model. The record is from RNAcentral.